RNAcentral lists this unclassified non-coding RNA (377 nucleotides) under uncultured Pseudomonadota bacterium. Its description in RNAcentral is "uncultured proteobacterium contains 16S-23S intergenic spacer region". The record is from RNAcentral. Lineage: Bacteria; Pseudomonadati; Pseudomonadota.
UCCGGUUUGUCACCGGCAGUCUCGUUAAAGUGCCCAACUGAAUGAUGGCAAUUAACAACAAGGGUUGCGCUCGUUGCGGGACUUAACCCAACAUCUCACGACACGAGCUGACGACAGCCAUGCAGCACCUGUGUUCCGAUUCCCUUUCGGGCACACCCCCAUCUCUGGAGGCUCUCGGACAUGUCAAGGGUAGGUAAGGUUUUUCGCGUUGCAUCGAAUUAAUCCACAUAAUCCACCGCUUGUGCGGGUCCCCGUCAAUUCCUUUGAGUUUUAAUCUUGCGAUCGUACUCCCCAGGCGGAAUGCUUAUCGCGUUAGCUGCGCCACCGAAGGGCAUGCCCACCGACGGCUAGCAUUCAUCGUUUACGGCGUGGACUAC